UACGGGGGGAGCAAGCGUUGUUCGGAUUUACUGGGCGUAAAGGGCGCGUAGGCGGUCAGCACAAGUCAGUUGUGAAAUCUCCGGGCUUAACUCGGAAAGGUCAACUGAUACUGUGCGACUAGAGUGCAGAAGGGGCAACUGGAAUUCUCGGUGUAGCGGUGAAAUGCGUAGAUAUCGAGAGGAACACCUGCGGCGAAGGCGGGUUGCUGGGACGUAACUGACGCUGAGACGCGAAAGCGUGGGGAGCAAACAGG
This 254-nucleotide ribosomal RNA is filed under the name uncultured bacterium. Its description in RNAcentral is "partial 16S ribosomal RNA". It matches the Rfam family "Bacterial small subunit ribosomal RNA", at positions 524 to 776 of the family's 1533-position model. The record is from RNAcentral.